CGCGUCCGCCUCGUGGACGCCGCUGCCCAUCAAAGCCGACUCCCGGUUACGCUGACGCCGUGCGGCAUUCCCGCCUGUCCGGGGAAAAGCCGCAUAGCCGACAGCCGUCGCAUCUAGGGAGUCCCUCCAUG
Molecule: small RNA, 131 nt
Filed under: Streptomyces sp. MMG1121
Lineage: Bacteria; Bacillati; Actinomycetota; Actinomycetes; Kitasatosporales; Streptomycetaceae
Description: Streptomyces-metH RNA
Rfam family: Streptomyces-metH RNA
Source: Rfam by way of RNAcentral